UCAAGACAGUACACACAAGCAUCAAAGUUCGUAUCAAGACAGUACACCCAAGCAUCAAAGUUCGUAUCAAGACAGUACACCCAAGCAUCUAGGUUCGUAUCAAGACAGUACACCCAAGCAUCUAGGUUCUUAUCAAGACAGCACACCCAAGCAUCUAGGUUCUUAUCAAGACAGCACACCCAAGCAUCUAGGUUCGUAUCAAGACAGCACACCCAAGCAUCUAGGUUCGUAUCAAGACAGUACACCCAAGCAUCUAGGUUCUUAUCAAGACAGCACACCCAAGCAUCUAGGUUCUUAUCAAGACAGUACACCCAAGCAUCUAGGUUCUUAUCAAGACAGCACACCCAAGCAUCUAGGUUCUUAUCAAGACAGCACACCCAAGCAUCUAGGUUCGUAUCAAGACAGCACACCCAAGCAUCUAGGUUCGUAUCAAGACAGUACACCCAAGCAUCUAGGUUCUUAUCAAGACAGCACACCCAAGCAUCUAGGUUCUUAUCAAGACAGUACACCCAAGCAUCUAGGUUCGUAUCAAGACAGUACACCC
This is a long non-coding RNA of Biomphalaria glabrata, 544 nucleotides long. RefSeq lists it as uncharacterized. The record is from RefSeq and is a predicted model, not a curated record. NCBI's taxonomy places the organism in Eukaryota, Metazoa, Mollusca, Gastropoda, Planorbidae. The transcript is spliced from 4 exons.